RNAcentral lists this ribosomal RNA (440 nucleotides) under uncultured bacterium. Its description in RNAcentral is "partial 16S ribosomal RNA". It matches the Rfam family "Bacterial small subunit ribosomal RNA", at positions 338 to 795 of the family's 1533-position model. The record is from RNAcentral.
CCUACGGGCGGCAGCAGUGGGGGAUAUUGCACAAUGGGGGGAACCCUGAUGCAGCGACGCCGCGUGGGUGAAGAAGCGCCUCGGCGCGUAAAGCCCUGUCAGCAGGGAAGAAAAUGACGGUACCUGAAGAAGAAGCCCCGGCUAACUACGUGCCAGCAGCCGCGGUAAUACGUAGGGGGCAAGCGUUAUCCGGAUUUACUGGGUGGAAAGGGGGCGCAGACGGCGAUGCAAGCCAGGAGUGAAAGCCCGGGGCCCAACCCCGGGACUGCUCGUGGAACUGCGUGGCUGGAGUGCAGGAGGGGCAGGCGGAAUUCCUGGUGUAGCGGUGAAAUGCGUAGAUAUCAGGAGGAACACCGGUGGCGAAGGCGGCCUGCUGGGCUGCAACUGACGUUGAGGCCCGAAAGCGUGGGGAGCAAACAGGAGUAGAGACCCCUGUAGUC